AUUGAACGCUGGCGGCAGGCCUAACACAUGCAAGUCGAACGGUAACAGGAAGCAGCUUGCUGCUUCGCUGACGAGUGGCGGACGGGUGAGUAAUGUCUGGGAAGCUGCCUGAUGGAGGGGGAUAACUACUGGAAACGGUAGCUAAUACCGCAUAAUGUCGCAAGACCAAAGAGGGGGACCUUCGGGCCUCUUGCCAUCGGAUGUGCCCAGAUGGGAUUAGCUUGUUGGUGGGGUAACGGCUCACCAAGGCGACGAUCCCUAGCUGGUCUGAGAGGAUGACCAGCCACACUGGAACUGAGACACGGUCCAGACUCCUACGGGAGGCAGCAGUGGGGAAUAUUGCACAAUGGGCGCAAGCCUGAUGCAGCCAUGCCGCGUGUAUGAAGAAGGCCUUCGGGUUGCAAAGUACUUUAAGCGGGGAGGAAGGGAGUAAAGUUAAUACCUUUGCUCAUUGACGUUACCCGCAGAAGAAGCACCGGCUAACUCCGUG
RNAcentral lists this ribosomal RNA (490 nucleotides) under uncultured bacterium. RNAcentral's name for it is "partial 16S ribosomal RNA". It matches the Rfam family "Bacterial small subunit ribosomal RNA", at positions 30 to 507 of the family's 1533-position model. The record is from RNAcentral.